This 286-nucleotide ribosomal RNA is filed under the name uncultured bacterium. RNAcentral's name for it is "partial 16S ribosomal RNA". It matches the Rfam family "Bacterial small subunit ribosomal RNA", at positions 507 to 793 of the family's 1533-position model. The record is from RNAcentral.
GCCAGCAGCCGCGGUAAUACGGAGGGUGCGAGCGUUAAUCGGAAUUACUGGGCGUAAAGCGCAUGCAGGUGGUUUGUUAAGUCAGAUGUGAAAGCCCGGGGCUCAACCUCGGAAUUGCAUUUGAAACUGGCAAACUAGAGUACUGUAGAGGGGGUAGAAUUUCAGGUGUAGCGGUGAAAUGCGUAGAGAUCUGAAGGAAUACCGGUGGCGAAGGCGGCCCCCUGGACAGAUACUGACACUCAGAUGCGAAAGCGUGGGGAGCAAACAGGAUUAGAUACCCUGGUAG